This is a long non-coding RNA of Lucilia cuprina (Australian sheep blowfly), 258 nucleotides long. RefSeq lists it as uncharacterized. The transcript has 2 exons. NCBI's taxonomy places the organism in Eukaryota, Metazoa, Arthropoda, Insecta, Diptera, Calliphoridae. The record is from RefSeq and is a predicted model, not a curated record.
CAGGUUAUGGAUGCGCUUUUCAAAUUUACAUUAUGCCAACUCAUAAACAUUUAAUGGAGAAAGCAUUUCCAUCGGACUAGUUACUGCCAGUUAGCAGUUUAAAAAGGAGGAGGGAAUGUAUGAAGGCCCCUGUAUGUGUAAAAUACUACAAGACUGACAAUAUGUACAUACAUAUAUCUUCAGAUGCACUUAAAUGACUGAUGUGUAAAUAGUAGAUGUAAGCAGCAAAAUUAAUAUAAAUAAAUACAAAUUAAAAUA